AAAAAAAGCAAAAAACAAAUUUUACAACCGUUGGCCAAUCUGACUGAGUCGGGUACAUAUUGUCACUUUCUCGGAUGCGGAAUCAAUCUACAACGCCUUGACCUGGAAAAAGUAGAAUCGAAGGUUCCAGGUCGCACAAAUUUAAUCAAACAUCUCGUUCCCUGAUGCCGCUUGAGGAAGACGCCAAACAAUUCCAGCACUGGAGGCCGGAGUAUGCGGAAUCGAUCCAGAGGAACUGGCAAUACAGCUCCGAGUAGGGAUCCAUGCAUGAGGUAACGGGUGAAGUGCAUAUCAGUACCACAAAUUGAAAACUGAUCGGAUCAAGAGGCAUCAGCCUGCCUAUACAUCUGGAUUCAUCAGCAACGGUUUGUUUUUGCGGAAGUCGGAGGUGCUUUUAAAUAUCACUAGAUUUAUUUUUAAUGACUGCACUGCCGUGUACAGCGUAGGUGUCCCAUGUUAAUAGGGAACAUGCGACUGUUAUGCUGCACACGGUAGUGCAAUAAGGUAAAAUAUCCAUCCAGAACAACACGUAUUAAUGGAGAGGAAGGGGUUUCACAUUUUAUAGUUAUUGUACUUGCUUUAUGAAAUAUAAUUUUUCUAGACGUA
This is a long non-coding RNA of Aedes albopictus (Asian tiger mosquito), 606 nucleotides long. RefSeq lists it as uncharacterized. The transcript has 2 exons. The record is from RefSeq and is a predicted model, not a curated record. Lineage: Eukaryota; Metazoa; Arthropoda; Insecta; Diptera; Culicidae.